Molecule: ribosomal RNA, 402 nt
Filed under: uncultured bacterium
Lineage: Bacteria
Description: bacterial SSU rRNA
Rfam family: Bacterial small subunit ribosomal RNA
Source: RNAcentral
UCGGGAAUUUUGGGCAAUGGGCGAAAGCCUGACCCAGCAACGCCGCGUGAGGGAUGAAGUAUUUCGGUAUGUAAACCUCGAAAGAAUGGGAAGAAUAAAUGACGGUACCAUUUAUAAGCUCCGGCUAACUACGUGCCAGCAGCCGCGGUAAUACGUAGGGAGCAAGCGUUGUUCGGAUUUACUGGGCGUAAAGGGCGCGUAGGCGGCGCGGUAAGUCACUUGUGAAAUCUCUGAGCUUAACUCAGAACGGCCAAGUGAUACUGCUGUGCUAGAGUGCGGAAGAGGCAACCGGAAUUCAUGGUGUAGCGGUGAAAUGCGUAGAUAUCAAGAGGAACACCUGAGGCGAAGGCGGGUUGCUGGGCCGACACUGACGCUGAUGCGCGAAAGCCAGGGGAGCAAACG